Molecule: ribosomal RNA, 2834 nt
Filed under: Escherichia coli
Lineage: Bacteria; Pseudomonadati; Pseudomonadota; Gammaproteobacteria; Enterobacterales; Enterobacteriaceae
Description: bacterial LSU rRNA
Rfam family: Bacterial large subunit ribosomal RNA
Source: RNAcentral
UAAGCGUACACGGUGGAUGCCCUGGCAGUCAGAGGCGAUGAAGGACGUGCUAAUCUGCGAUAAGCGUCGGUAAGGUGAUAUGAACCGUUAUAACCGGCGAUUUCCGAAUGGGGAAACCCAGUGUGAUUCGUCACACUAUCAUUAACUGAAUCCAUAGGUUAAUGAGGCGAACCGGGGGAACUGAAACAUCUAAGUACCCCGAGGAAAAGAAAUCAACCGAGAUUCCCCCAGUAGCGGCGAGCGAACGGGGAGGAGCCCAGAGCCUGAAUCAGUGUGUGUGUUAGUGGAAGCGUCUGGAAAGGCGCGCGAUACAGGGUGACAGCCCCGUACACAAAAAUGCACAUGCUGUGAGCUCGAUGAGUAGGGCGGGACACGUGGUAUCCUGUCUGAAUAUGGGGGGACCAUCCUCCAAGGCUAAAUACUCCUGACUGACCGAUAGUGAACCAGUACCGUGAGGGAAAGGCGAAAAGAACCCCGGCGAGGGGAGUGAAAAAGAACCUGAAACCGUGUACGUACAAGCAGUGGGAGCACAGAGCAAUCUGUGUGACUGCGUACCUUUUGUAUAAUGGGUCAGCGACUUAUAUUCUGUAGCAAGGUUAACCGAAUAGGGGAGCCGAAGGGAAACCGAGUCUUAACUGGGCGUUAAGUUGCAGGGUAUAGACCCGAAACCCGGUGAUCUAGCCAUGGGCAGGUUGAAGGUUGGGUAACACUAACUGGAGGACCGAACCGACUAAUGUUGAAAAAUUAGCGGAUGACUUGUGGCUGGGGGUGAAAGGCCAAUCAAACCGGGAGAUAGCUGGUUCUCCCCGAAAGCUAUUUAGGUAGCGCCUCGUGAAUUCAUCUCCGGGGGUAGAGCACUGUUUCGGCAAGGGGGUCAUCCCGACUUACCAACCCGAUGCAAACUGCGAAUACCGGAGAAUGUUAUCACGGGAGACACACGGCGGGUGCUAACGUCCGUCGUGAAGAGGGAAACAACCCAGACCGCCAGCUAAGGUCCCAAAGUCAUGGUUAAGUGGGAAACGAUGUGGGAAGGCCCAGACAGCCAGGAUGUUGGCUUAGAAGCAGCCAUCAUUUAAAGAAAGCGUAAUAGCUCACUGGUCGAGUCGGCCUGCGCGGAAGAUGUAACGGGGCUAAACCAUGCACCGAAGCUGCGGCAGCGACGCUGAUGCGUUGUUGGGUAGGGGAGCGUUCUGUAAGCCUGUGAAGGUGUGCUGUGAGGCAUGCUGGAGGUAUCAGAAGUGCGAAUGCUGACAUAAGUAACGAUAAAGCGGGUGAAAAGCCCGCUCGCCGGAAGACCAAGGGUUCCUGUCCAACGUUAAUCGGGGCAGGGUGAGUCGACCCCUAAGGCGAGGCCGAAAGGCGUAGUCGAUGGGAAACAGGUUAAUAUUCCUGUACUUGGUGUUACUGCGAAGGGGGGACGGAGAAGGCUAUGUUGGCCGGGCGACGGUUGUCCCGGUUUAAGCGUGUAGGCUGGUUUUCCAGGCAAAUCCGGAAAACUAAGGCUGAGGCGUGAUGACGAGGCACUACGGUGCUGAAGCAACAAAUGCCCUGCUUCCAGGAAAAGCCUCUAAGCAUCAGGUAACAUCAAAUCGUACCCCAAACCGACACAGGUGGUCAGGUAGAGAAUACCAAGGCGCUUGAGAGAACUCGGGUGAAGGAACUAGGCAAAAUGGUGCCGUAACUUCGGGAGAAGGCACGCUGAUAUGUAGGUGAAGUCCCUCGCGGAUGGAGCUGAAAUCAGUCGAAGAUACCAGCUGGCUGCAACUGUUUAUUAAAAACACAGCACUGUGCAAACACGAAAGUGGACGUAUACGGUGUGACGCCUGCCCGGUGCCGGAAGGUUAAUUGAUGGGGUCAGCGCAAGCGAAGCUCUUGAUCGAAGCCCCGGUAAACGGCGGCCGUAACUAUAACGGUCCUAAGGUAGCGAAAUUCCUUGUCGGGUAAGUUCCGACCUGCACGAAUGGCGUAAUGAUGGCCAGGCUGUCUCCACCCGAGACUCAGUGAAAUUGAACUCGCUGUGAAGAUGCAGUGUACCCGCGGCAAGACGGAAAGACCCCGUGAACCUUUACUAUAGCUUGACACUGAACAUUGAGCCUUGAUGUGUAGGAUAGGUGGGAGGCUUUGAAGUGUGGACGCCAGUCUGCAUGGAGCCGACCUUGAAAUACCACCCUUUAAUGUUUGAUGUUCUAACGUUGACCCGUAAUCCGGGUUGCGGACAGUGUCUGGUGGGUAGUUUGACUGGGGCGGUCUCCUCCUAAAGAGUAACGGAGGAGCACGAAGGUUGGCUAAUCCUGGUCGGACAUCAGGAGGUUAGUGCAAUGGCAUAAGCCAGCUUGACUGCGAGCGUGACGGCGCGAGCAGGUGCGAAAGCAGGUCAUAGUGAUCCGGUGGUUCUGAAUGGAAGGGCCAUCGCUCAACGGAUAAAAGGUACUCCGGGGAUAACAGGCUGAUACCGCCCAAGAGUUCAUAUCGACGGCGGUGUUUGGCACCUCGAUGUCGGCUCAUCACAUCCUGGGGCUGAAGUAGGUCCCAAGGGUAUGGCUGUUCGCCAUUUAAAGUGGUACGCGAGCUGGGUUUAGAACGUCGUGAGACAGUUCGGUCCCUAUCUGCCGUGGGCGCUGGAGAACUGAGGGGGGCUGCUCCUAGUACGAGAGGACCGGAGUGGACGCAUCACUGGUGUUCGGGUUGUCAUGCCAAUGGCACUGCCCGGUAGCUAAAUGCGGAAGAGAUAAGUGCUGAAAGCAUCUAAGCACGAAACUUGCCCCGAGAUGAGUUCUCCCUGACUCCUUGAGAGUCCUGAAGGAACGUUGAAGACGACGACGUUGAUAGGCCGG